Molecule: non-coding RNA, 147 nt
Organism: Homo sapiens (human)
Lineage: Eukaryota; Metazoa; Chordata; Mammalia; Primates; Hominidae
Rfam family: Metazoan signal recognition particle RNA
About the family: The signal recognition particle (SRP) is a universally conserved ribonucleoprotein. It is involved in the co-translational targeting of proteins to membranes.
Source: Rfam
GCUGGGUGCAAUGGCUCACACCUGUAUUCCCAGAAUUUUGGGAGGCUGAGGCAGGAGGAUCACUUGAGCACAGGAGUUCAAGGCUGCAGUGAGCUCUAAUCACUCCACUGCAUUCAGCCUGGGCAACAGAGUGAGACCCUGUCUCUU